RNAcentral lists this ribosomal RNA (702 nucleotides) under Escherichia coli. RNAcentral's name for it is "bacterial SSU rRNA". It matches the Rfam family "Bacterial small subunit ribosomal RNA", at positions 58 to 747 of the family's 1533-position model. Lineage: Bacteria; Pseudomonadati; Pseudomonadota; Gammaproteobacteria; Enterobacterales; Enterobacteriaceae. The record is from RNAcentral.
CAAGUACCAACGGUAACAGGAAGCAAGCUUGCUUCUUUGCUGACGAGUGGCGGACGGGUGAGUAAUGUCUGGGAAACUGCCUGAUGGAGGGGGAUAACUACUGGAAACGGUAGCUAAUACCGCAUAACGUCGCAAGACCAAAGAGGGGGACCUUCGGGCCUCUUGCCAUCGGAUGUGCCCAGAUGGGAUUAGCUAGUAGGUGGGGUAACGGCUCACCUAGGCGACGAUCCCUAGCUGGUCUGAGAGGAUGACCAGCCACACUGGAACUGAGACACGGUCCAGACUCCUACGGGAGGCAGCAGUGGGGAAUAUUGCACAAUGGGCGCAAGCCUGAUGCAGCCAUGCCGCGUGUAUGAAGAAGGCCUUCGGGUUGUAAAGUACUUUCAGCGGGGAGGAAGGGAGUAAAGUUAAUACCUUUGCUCAUUGACGUUACCCGCAGAAGAAGCACCGGCUAACUCCGUGCCAGCAGCCGCGGUAAUACGGAGGGUGCAAGCGUUAAUCGGAAUUACUGGGCGUAAAGCGCACGCAGGCGGUUUGUUAAGUCAGAUGUGAAAUCCCCGGGCUCAACCUGGGAACUGCAUCUGAUACUGGCAAGCUUGAGUCUCGUAGAGGGGGGUAGAAUUCCAGGUGUAGCGGUGAAAUGCGUAGAGAUCUGGAGGAAUACCGGUGGCGAAGGCGGCCCCCUGGACGAAGACUGACGCU